GACGAACGCUGGCGGCGUGCCUAAUACAUGCAAGUUGAGCGCUGAAGGUUGGUACUUGUACCAACUGGAUGAGCAGCGAACGGGUGAGUAACGCGUGGGGAAUCUGCCUUUGAGCGGGGGACAACAUUUGGAAACGAAUGCUAAUACCGCAUAAAAACUUUAAACACAAGUUUUAAGUUUGAAAGAUGCAAUUGCAUCACUCAAAGAUGAUCCCGCGUUGUAUUAGCUAGUUGGUGAGGUAAAGGCUCACCAAGGCGAUGAUACAUAGCCGACCUGAGAGGGUGAUCGGCCACAUUGGGACUGAGACACGGCCCAAACUCCUACGGGAGGCAGCAGUAGGGAAUCUUCGGCAAUGGACGAAAGUCUGACCGAGCAACGCCGCGUGAGUGAAGAAGGGUGUCGGAUCGUGAAACUCUGUUGGUAGAGAAGAACGUUGGUGAGAGUGGAAAGCUCAUCAAGUGACGGUAACUACCCAGAAAGGGACGGCUAACUACGUG
RNAcentral lists this ribosomal RNA (497 nucleotides) under uncultured bacterium. Its description in RNAcentral is "partial 16S ribosomal RNA". It matches the Rfam family "Bacterial small subunit ribosomal RNA", at positions 28 to 507 of the family's 1533-position model. The record is from RNAcentral.